GAGUACGUCCACACCACCCUGAACACGCCCGAUCUCAUCUGAUCUCAGAAGCUAAGCAGGGUCGGGCCUGGUUCGUACCUGGAUGGGAGAAAAUAGUCUCAAAGAUUUCCUGGCACAGUGGACCCC
Molecule: non-coding RNA, 126 nt
Organism: Erinaceus europaeus (western European hedgehog)
Lineage: Eukaryota; Metazoa; Chordata; Mammalia; Eulipotyphla; Erinaceidae
Source: Rfam